RNAcentral lists this ribosomal RNA (254 nucleotides) under uncultured bacterium. Its description in RNAcentral is "partial 16S ribosomal RNA". It matches the Rfam family "Bacterial small subunit ribosomal RNA", at positions 524 to 776 of the family's 1533-position model. The record is from RNAcentral.
UACGUAGGGUGCGAGCGUUAAUCGGAAUUACUGGGCGUAAAGCGUGCGCAGGCGGUGAUGUAAGACCGAUGUGAAAUCCCCGGGCUUAACCUGGGAACUGCAUUUGUGACUGCAUCGCUGGAGUGGCGGCAGAGGGGGAUGGAAUUCCGCGUGUAGCAGUGAAAUGCGUAGAUAUGCGGAGGAACACCGAUGGCGAAGGCAAUCCCCUGGGCCUGCACUGACGCUCAUGCACGAAAGCGUGGGGAGCAAACAGG